Molecule: ribosomal RNA, 489 nt
Filed under: uncultured bacterium
Lineage: Bacteria
Description: bacterial SSU rRNA
Rfam family: Bacterial small subunit ribosomal RNA
Source: RNAcentral
GACGAACGCUAGCGACGUGCCUAAGAAAUGCAAGUCGAGCGAGGUUAGAGAGCUUGCUCUCGAAGCCUAGCGGCGAACGGUCGCGUAACACGUAAGCAACCUGCCCCAAAGUGGGGGAUAGCCCUCCGAAAGGAGGAUUAAUACCGCAUGUGGAUGUAUGAUCGCAUGUUCGUGCAUCUAAAGCAGCGAUGCGCUUUGGGAUGGGCUUGCGGCCUAUCAGCUAGUUGGUGGGGUAACGGCCUACCAAGGCGACGACGGGUAGCUGGUCUGAGAGGAUGGUCAGCCGGACUGGGACUGAGACACGGCCCAGACUCCUACGGGGGGCAGCAAUUAGGAAUCUUGCGCAAUGGGCGAAAGCCUGACGCAGCGACGUCGCGUGACCGAUGAAGUCUUUCGGGAUGUAAACUCCUUUUCUCAGGGAAAAGGAUGAUGGUACCUGAGGAAUAAGCCCCGGCUAACUACGUGCCAGCAGCCGCGGUAAUACGUCUA